UUGGGCUUUCUUCUGGAAAAACGUCCUUGUAUUCCUGCAAAAGAGGCAAAACGCUGCUCGGAAGAUCCGGCUCACGGUCAGUAAGACUAGCCAAAGCAUUUCUAAACAUUAACAAGACAAAGGAUUGUCUCGUAAGCACGGCGUGCUUAAGUUCACUUGGCCUCACGAAAAGAGUUUCUUUCCUCACGGGUAAACUCUCUAAGGCCGUUUCUGGGGUUUUUCUCAGACUCUCAG
Molecule: long non-coding RNA, 234 nt
Filed under: Eutrema salsugineum
Lineage: Eukaryota; Viridiplantae; Streptophyta; Magnoliopsida; Brassicales; Brassicaceae
Description: long non-coding RNA (ESAL_LNC000122)
Source: RNAcentral